GGGGAGGGUUCGCCGCGGCCUCACCGCCGCCAUGGCUUCUCCCUUUCCUUCGGGCCUUCAACGAGAAAGUAUUUCAGUGGCGCAGGCAUUUACAGGAAAAUAAAGAAAUACAAUAUGAAUCCAUCAGUUUCCUUGGCUGCAUAAGGUUGGGGAAGACAACCUCCGGCCCUGCCAAUCUCGUGAGAUUGAAGUGCUCUCCCAUUCCAAACCCUUGUUUGUGUGGAUGCUGUGUAAUUUGCUACCCUGUUACAAAUUAGUGCUACAAAAUAGCAGACAGUACACUGCAUACGAUUAAAAGAUUAUAUUGAUGAAUCUUAAUUUGACUAAAGGGUGAGUAAAGAAAAGAACAAAAAUAAAUGAAAAGGGCUCAUUUUAAUGAAAGAGUCAAAUGCACACAAGUUGGAACUCAAAGUUUCUCCAUAGACACUGAUCAUCAAUCAAACUCGCUGCUGGCUUUGUGGAAUCAUGGUCCUGCUCUGGGUCGAAUCCUGUGACUCUUCUGUCCUGCAUCUUCCCUUUUCAUCUCCUCUCCAACAAAAGCCCCUAAGUCCAACCUUAGUGUCCCUACCAGAGAAACCUCUUCUUAAUUUGACCAUCCUAACUGGAUUUCUCCUCAUCACUUCAACAAUAACCCAAAUAGGCUGAAAACAGAACAGACAGCUCUCAUAGAACUGCUAAAUAAGAUGCAUACAGCAUAACAGUAAAAAUAUGAACCAGGGUAUUACAAAUAGAAUUUAUGAAAAGCUAUAUAUAAACAAAGCCAAUGUGCAAAACAAGACAAAUUUUGCAAAUAAAAAGAUACUGAGAACAUGACAUGUAGAGUGUUUGAAAGUGAGUCUGUAGGUUAUAGAAUCAGUUCAGAUUUGUGGUAAGCGAAGUUAUCCACACUGGUUCAGGAGUCUGAUGGUUGUAGGGUAAUAACUUCCUGAACCUGGUAGUGUGGACCUAAAGCUCCUGUGCCUCCUGUCUGAUGGUAGUAGUGAGAAGAGAGCCUGAUUUGGAUAUUGAGGGUCCUUGAUGAUAGAUGCUACUUUCAUGUGGCAGCUUUCCUACAUGCCAAUUUGUCAUCAUCUUUGAUUCAGCCAAUAACAGUAUCAGCAAAUGUAAAUGGAACAUUGGAGCUAUACUUAGCCUUGUGGUGAACUACAUAUACCUGUCUGGACACCACCCCCCCCCCCCCCCCCCGCUGACUGCUCCUGUGGCUCCUCCCAUGGACCCCGGUAUAAAGGCGAUUGGAGACACUGCCCCGGCCUCGGUCUCCAGGAUGCAGUGUGGUGGUCAAUUGCUGAUUGUUCUUUCUUCCAGCCAAUAAAAGCCUAUAUCUCGCCUCA
This is a long non-coding RNA of Hypanus sabinus (Atlantic stingray), 1331 nucleotides long. RefSeq lists it as uncharacterized. The transcript has 2 exons. Lineage: Eukaryota; Metazoa; Chordata; Chondrichthyes; Myliobatiformes; Dasyatidae. The record is from RefSeq and is a predicted model, not a curated record.